RNAcentral lists this ribosomal RNA (490 nucleotides) under uncultured bacterium. Its description in RNAcentral is "partial 16S ribosomal RNA". It matches the Rfam family "Bacterial small subunit ribosomal RNA", at positions 30 to 507 of the family's 1533-position model. The record is from RNAcentral.
AUUGAACGCUGGCGGCAGGCUUAACACAUGCAAGUCGAACGGUAACAUAAAGGAGCUUGCUUCUUUGAUGACGAGUGGCGGACGGGUGAGCAAUGCUUGGGAAUCUAGCUGAUGGAGGGGGAUAACUACGGGAAACUGUCGCUAAUACCGCGUAGAAUCGGGAGAUGAAAGUGUGGGACCUUCGGGCCACAUGCCAUAGGAUGAGCCCAAGUGGGAUUAGGUAGUUGGUGAGGUAAAGGCUCACCAAGCCGACGAUCUCUAGCUGGUCUGAGAGGAUGACCAGCCACACUGGGACUGAGACACGGCCCAGACUCCUACGGGAGGCAGCAGUGGGGAAUAUUGCGCAAUGGGGGCAACCCUGACGCAGCCAUGCCGCGUGAAUGAAGAAGGCCUUCGGGUUGUAAAGUGCUUUCGGUAGCGAGGAAGGCAUUUAGUUUAAUAGACGAGGUGAAUGACGUUAACUACAGAAGAAGCACCGGCUAACUCCGUG